RNAcentral lists this non-coding RNA (28 nucleotides) under Bombyx mori (domestic silkworm). Lineage: Eukaryota; Metazoa; Arthropoda; Insecta; Lepidoptera; Bombycidae. The record is from RNAcentral.
UGAUUAUGCUGUUGCAGUAGGGCGUAGA